Long non-coding RNA from Ipomoea triloba (trilobed morning glory), 487 nucleotides. RefSeq lists it as uncharacterized. The record is from RefSeq and is a predicted model, not a curated record. NCBI's taxonomy places the organism in Eukaryota, Viridiplantae, Streptophyta, Magnoliopsida, Solanales, Convolvulaceae. The transcript has 2 exons.
CAGACACAUAUAAAUAGUCGCAAUCCUUGGCUACAAUAGUCACAAUAAGAAGAUGGGUUUUGGUAAAGUUUGUUUUCUAAUGUUUCUUGCUGCUAUCAUUGGCCUCUCUGCUGCGUCUAGAAUUGGAGUAGAUGAAAACAGCAAACCUUAUUGCUCUGACCAUUGCACUAUUAGCGGCUUGCUUGGGAUUGACGCUUGCCAGCAGUUUUGUUGGGAGAAUUAUCAUGCUGAGGGCUCCUGCGUGCUUCAACGCAAUUCAAAAAGGCUUUGUUGUUGUACGCCAUGAUGAACCCCCAAAUGUUGCACACUACCCAAGAAUUUGAAAACUUCUACAAUUUAAUAUAUUAAUAAUAAGUACUCUUUAAUUAAAAAGAGUUUCAAAAUUUGUUCUCUAAAUAUGCAUGGCUUUUUUUUUUUUAAAAAAAGUUUAUUGAAUAUUGGAUGUAAUAAGUACUCUUUAACUUAAGUUUCAAAAUUUGUUCGAAUA